AGAGUUUGAUCAUGGCUCAGGACGAACGCUGGCGGCGUGCUUAACACAUGCAAGUCAAGGAGAAAGCCCCGCUUGCGGGGUGAUUAAACUGGCGCACGGGUGAGGAAUAUAUAAGUAAUCUACCCAUGGGUUCGGGAUAACGUCGAGAAAUCGGCGCUAAUACCAAAUGACAUAAUUUUAUCGCAUGAUAGAAUUAUUAAAGUUCACGAAACGCCCAUGGAUGAGCUUGUAUCUGAUUAGUUUGUUGGUAAGGUAACGGCUUACCAAGACUACGAUCAGUAGCUGGUCUGAGAGGAUGAUCAGCCACAUUGGAACUGAGACACGGUCCAGACUCCUACGGGAGGCAGCAGUGAGGAAUAUUGGGCAAUGGGCGAAAGCCUGACCCAGCAACGCCGCGUGGAGGAUGAAUGUCGUAAGAUUGUAAACUCCUUUUGGAGGGGACGAAAAAACAGGUUGGAAGCCUGAA
This 466-nucleotide ribosomal RNA is filed under the name uncultured bacterium. RNAcentral's name for it is "bacterial SSU rRNA". It matches the Rfam family "Bacterial small subunit ribosomal RNA", at positions 8 to 469 of the family's 1533-position model. The record is from RNAcentral.